ACAGUGAAUAGAGCAACAAUUUUCUAGCCAUUUCUGGAAAGAGAAUAAUUGACCUAUUAGUAUAUAAAUUAUUUUAAGCCUAAAGACUUAGAUUUUAGUCCAAAAGUUCUUCCACUAUUUUAUAUGAAUUGACAGCCUCUACCUUCAAUUCGAAGAAUUACUUUAAUUUCUUAGUAGGUACUAGAAUCCACACAGACUGCAUUUGAGCCC
Molecule: long non-coding RNA, 210 nt
Filed under: Elaeis guineensis (African oil palm)
Lineage: Eukaryota; Viridiplantae; Streptophyta; Magnoliopsida; Arecales; Arecaceae
Description: long non-coding RNA (EGUI_LNC037558)
Source: RNAcentral